CCUACGGGAGGCAGCAGUGGGGAAUAUUGCACAAUGGGGGAAACCCUGAUGCAGCGACGCCGCGUGAGUGAAGAAGUAUUUCGUUAUGUAAAGCUCUAUCAGCAGGGAAGAAAAUGACGGUACCUGACUAAGAAGCCCCGGCUAACUACGUGCCAGCAGCCGCGGUAAUACGUAGGGGGCAAGCGUUAUCCGGAUUUACUGGGUGUAAAGGGAGCGUAGACGGCGGUGCAAGUCUGGAGUGAAAGGCGGGGGCUCAACCCCCGGACUGCACUGGAAACUGUACAGCUGGAGUGCAGGAGAGGUAAGUGGAAUUCCUAGUGUAGCGGUGAAAUGCGUAGAUAUUAGGAGGAACACCAGUGGCGAAGGCGGCUUACUGGACUGUAACUGACGUUGAGGCUCGAAAGCGUGGGGAGCAAACAGGAUUAGAUACCCGGGUAGUC
Molecule: ribosomal RNA, 440 nt
Filed under: uncultured bacterium
Lineage: Bacteria
Description: partial 16S ribosomal RNA
Rfam family: Bacterial small subunit ribosomal RNA
Source: RNAcentral